Molecule: small nuclear RNA, 99 nt
Organism: Dipodomys ordii (Ord's kangaroo rat)
Lineage: Eukaryota; Metazoa; Chordata; Mammalia; Rodentia; Heteromyidae
Source: Ensembl
GUGCUCGCUUUAGCAGCACAGAUACUAAAAUUGGUUUGACGAUUAGCACCGCCCCUGAGCAAGGAUGACACACCAAUUUGUGAAGUGGUCCAUAUUUUU